This 425-nucleotide ribosomal RNA is filed under the name uncultured bacterium. RNAcentral's name for it is "partial 16S ribosomal RNA". It matches the Rfam family "Bacterial small subunit ribosomal RNA", at positions 354 to 796 of the family's 1533-position model. The record is from RNAcentral.
GUGGGGAAUAUUGCACAAUGGGCGAAAGCCUGAUGCAGCGACGCCGCGUGAGCGAUGAAGUAUUUCGGUACGUAAAGCUCUAUCAGCAAGGAAGAAAAUGACGGUACUUGACUAAGAAGCCCCGGCUAACUACGUGCCAGCAGCCGCGGUAAUACGUAGGGGGCAAGCGUUAUCCGGAUUUACUGGGUGUAAAGGGAGCGUAGACGGUAUGGUAAGUCAGAUGUGAAAGCCCGGGGCUCAACCCCGGGACUGCAUUUGAAACUAUCAGACUAGAGUGCAGGAGAGGUAAGUGGAAUUCCUAGUGUAGCGGUGAAAUGCGUAGAUAUUAGGAGGAACACCAGUGGCGAAGGCGGCUUACUGGACUGUAACUGACGUUGAGGCUCGAAAGCGUGGGGAGCAAACAGGAUUAGAAACCCUGGUAGUCC